UACGGAGGGUGCAAACGUUGCUCGGAAUCAUUGGGCGUAAAGCGCACGUAGGCGGCUCGUUAAGUCGGGUGUGAAAGCCCUGGGCUCAACCCAGGAAGUGCAUUCGAAACUGGCGAGCUUGAAUAUGGAAGAGGGUCGCGGAAUUCCCGGUGUAGAGGUGAAAUUCGUAGAUAUCGGGAGGAACACCAGUGGCGAAGGCGGCGACCUGGGCCAAUAUUGACGCUGAGGCGCGAAAGCCAGGGGAGCGAACGGG
RNAcentral lists this ribosomal RNA (253 nucleotides) under uncultured bacterium. Its description in RNAcentral is "partial 16S ribosomal RNA". It matches the Rfam family "Bacterial small subunit ribosomal RNA", at positions 524 to 776 of the family's 1533-position model. The record is from RNAcentral.